AACGAACGCUGGCGGCAUGCCUAACACAUGCAAGUCGAACGAGACCUUCGGGUCUAGUGGCGCACGGGUGCGUAACGCGUGGGAACCUGCCCUUGGGUUCGGAAUCACAGGUAGAAAUGACCUCUAAUACCGGAUGACGUCCUCGGACCCAAUAUUUAACGCCCAAGGAUGAGCCCGCUUAGGAUUAGAUUGUUGGUGGGGUAAUGGCCCACCAAGCCGACGAUCCUUAGCUGGUCUGAGAGGAUGAUCGGCCACACGGGGACUGCAGACACGGCCCAGACUCCUACGGGAGGCAGCAGUGGGGAAUAUUGGACAAUGGGCGAAAGCCUGAUCCAGCAAUGCCGCGUGAGUGAUGAAGGCCUUAGGGUUGUAAAGCUCCUUUACCAGGGAUGAUAAUGACAGUACCUGGAGAAUAAGCUCCGGCUAACUCCGUGCCAGCCGCCGCGGUAA
RNAcentral lists this ribosomal RNA (450 nucleotides) under uncultured bacterium. RNAcentral's name for it is "partial 16S ribosomal RNA". It matches the Rfam family "Bacterial small subunit ribosomal RNA", at positions 29 to 523 of the family's 1533-position model. The record is from RNAcentral.